Molecule: ribosomal RNA, 1324 nt
Filed under: uncultured Alphaproteobacteria bacterium
Lineage: Bacteria; Pseudomonadati; Pseudomonadota; Alphaproteobacteria
Description: bacterial SSU rRNA
Rfam family: Bacterial small subunit ribosomal RNA
Source: RNAcentral
ACGUACGCUGGCGGCACGCCUAACACAUGCAAGUCGAACGAAGUAGCAAUACUUAGUGGCAGACGGGUGAGUAACAUGUAGGUAUCUGCCCUUUGGCCUGGAAUAACACGAGGAAACUUGUGCUAAUACCGGAUAAGUCUUUACGGAGAAAGCUUUAUGCACCAUUGGAUGAGCCUGCACUUGAUUAGUUUGUUGGUGGGGUAAUGGCCUACCAAGACUGUGAUCAAUAGCUGAUUUGAGAGGAUGAUCAGCCACAUUGGGACUGAGACACGGCCCAAACUCCUACGGGAGGCAGCAGUGGGGAAUCUUGCACAAUGGAGGAAACUCUGAUGCAGCGAUGCCGCGUGAGUGAAGAAGGCCCUUGGGUUGUAAAGCUCUUUCGUCGGGGAAGAAAAUGACUGUACCCGAAUAAGAAGGUCCGGCUAACUUCGUGCCAGCAGCCGCGGUAAUACGAAGGGACCUAGCGUAGUUCGGAAUUACUGGGCUUAAAGAGUUCGUAGGUGGUUGAAAUAGUUGGUGGUGAAAUCCCAGAGCUUAACUCUGGAACUGCCAUCAAAACUUUUCAGCUAGAGUAUGAUAGAGGAAAGCAGAAUUUCUAGUGUAGAGGUGAAAUUCGUAGAUAUUAGAAAGAAUACCAAUUGCGAAGGCAGCUUUCUGGAUCAUUACUGACACUGAGGAACGAAAGCAUGGGUAGCGAAGAGGAUUAGAUACCCUCGUAGUCCAUGCCGUAAACGAUGUGUGUUAGACGUUGGAAAUUUAUUUUCAGUGUCGCAGGGAAACCGAUAAACACACCGCCUGGGGAGUACGACCGCAAGGUUAAAACUCAAAUGAAUUGACGGGGACCCGCACAAGUAGUGGAGCAUGUGGUUUAAUUCGAAGAUACGCGCAGAACCUUACCAACACUUGACAUGUUCGUCGCGACUCUAAGAGAUUAGAGUUUUCGGUUCGGCCGGACGAAACACAGGUGCUGCAUGGCUGUCGUCAGCUCGUGUCGUGAGAUGUUGGGUUAAGUCCCGCAACGAGCGCAACCCUCACUUUUAGUUGCCAUCAUUAAGUUGGGCACUCUGAAAGAACUGCCAGUGAUAAGCUGGAGGAAGGUGGGGAUGACGUCAAGUCCUCAUGGCCCUUACGUGUUGGGCUACACACGUGCUACAAUGGUAUCUACAACAGGAAGCAAGACUGCGAAGUUAAGCAAAUCCCUAAAAGAUACCUCAGUUCGGAUUGCACUCUGCAACUCGAGUGCAUGAAGCUGGAAUUACUAGUAAUCGUGGAUCAGCGUGCCACGGUGAAUGCGUUCCCGGGUCUUGUACACACCGCCCGUCAA